GUCACCGUGGCCUAGUGGAUAGCGCUGCUGUUUUCGAAUUUAGGUCGCGGGUUCGAACCCCACCGUGGUCA
Molecule: non-coding RNA, 71 nt
Organism: Caenorhabditis brenneri
Lineage: Eukaryota; Metazoa; Nematoda; Chromadorea; Rhabditida; Rhabditidae
Source: the annotation of a GenBank genome assembly